GGGACAGGGUUUUAUUAUCACCAGGAAUAAACGAUAUUAUCAUUGCUUCAAAAUCUUAUUCCACUGGUUUAGACAUCAUUAAGUGACUCAUUAGUUUAGACAAUGACCAAAACUCUGCUUCUCUUACUCAUUGCAUUAGUGCUAUUGUGUGUGUCCCUUGGAGAAACCAGUCCAGUGAGAUGCUGUAUGAAUUUCUCACUAAACCCUUUGCCUCUCAAUUGGCUGAAAGACUGCAUGCUGUAAUAUUUACCGUAGUGAAAGAUUUGUUCCAAUCCUGAUUCAUCAUGGGUUAAAAAUGCUGUGAAUUACAUUAGUAAGUUCAUCAUUAAACUGAUUGGUCUAGAAGUAUUUACAUCUAGAUGUGUUAAAGUUUUAUUUUAUUCAUCAGACCACCCAAUUUUUAGGCAAGCAAAAGUAUAGGAACAGAUAAGUGUUGGUUGCAUAUUCCUUGCUUGCAAUAACUGUGUCAAGCUUGCGAUUUAUUGAGAUCACCAAAUUGUUUUUUUUUUUUUUCCCAUUUGUGUUACUUUUCCAGGCUUUUACCAUAACCUCUUUCAGUUGUUCUUUGUUUCAGGGGGUUUCUCUCUUCAGUCUCCUCUUCAGGAGGUGAAAUGCUGCUCAAUUGGGUUAAGGUCUAAAAACCUUCCACUUUUUUCCCCCUCAAUGAAAUCCUUUGUUGAGUUGGCAGUGUGUUUUGAAUCAUUGUCUUGCUGCAUGAUAAAGCUCUUGCUGAUUAAUUUGGAUCUCUGUGAAUUGGCAGACAAAGUGUUCAUGUAAACUUCUGAAUUCAUUCUGCUGCUACCAUCAUGAGUCACAUCAUCAAUAAAGAUUAGUGAGAAUGUUCUAGAAGCAGCCAUGCAGCGCCCAAGCUGUGACACCACCUCCACCAUGCUCCACCUCCACUGAUGAGCUUGUAUGUUUUGGAUCAUGAGCAGAUCCUUUCUUUCUCCACACUUUGGCAUUUCCAUCACUUUGGUAGAGGUUAAUCUUGGUUCCAGGACUUUUG
This is a long non-coding RNA of Ictalurus punctatus (channel catfish), 1006 nucleotides long. The record is from Ensembl. Lineage: Eukaryota; Metazoa; Chordata; Actinopteri; Siluriformes; Ictaluridae.